Poeciliopsis prolifica (blackstripe livebearer) is the source of this 397-nucleotide long non-coding RNA. RefSeq lists it as uncharacterized. The record is from RefSeq and is a predicted model, not a curated record. The transcript is spliced from 3 exons. Lineage: Eukaryota; Metazoa; Chordata; Actinopteri; Cyprinodontiformes; Poeciliidae.
GAUUAUGUGUUUCAGAAGUACAGAGUUUAAGUCUUUCCUUAAGCUGUGAUGGGAAAUCGGAGUGCAGCUUCUUAGUCAGUAGUUCUCUGUUCGGAGAUCCCUGUCCUGAGACCUACAAGUACGUGGAGGUGCUAUAUCGUUGUGAAAGUAAAGGUGAAAUUGAAUGAAACGACCAUCAGAUCUGAUGUGCUGAGGAUGAAAUGCAUCCACAUGACACUAAUGUGGAUCACCAGCCCAAGCGGCUCCUUCUACAUCUAGAGACCUUGUGAUCCACUGAUGUGCAGCUUCAUCUCUCUUCAGUGUCUUCUAGUUUUCUGUACAUUUAUUUGUUUUUCUUCCCAAUCUUCAUCCUUUUGCUUUUAUUUCAACUUUCAUCAAUAAACCUGACUUGCAUUUA